RNAcentral lists this ribosomal RNA (486 nucleotides) under uncultured bacterium. RNAcentral describes it as "partial 16S ribosomal RNA". It matches the Rfam family "Bacterial small subunit ribosomal RNA", at positions 30 to 507 of the family's 1533-position model. The record is from RNAcentral.
AUUGAACGCUGGCGGCAUGCCUUACACAUGCAAGUCGAACGGCAGCACGGGUGCUUGCACCUGGUGGCGAGUGGCGAACGGGUGAGUAAUACAUCGGAACAUGUCCUGUAGUGGGGGAUAGCCCGGCGAAAGCCGGAUUAAUACCGCAUACGAUCUACGGAUGCAAGCGGGGGACCUUCGGGCCUCGCGCUAUAGGGUUGGCCGAUGGCUGAUUAGCUAGUUGGUGGGGUAAAGGCCUACCAAGGCGACGAUCAGUAGCUGGUCUGAGAGGACGACCAGCCACACUGGGACUGAGACACGGCCCAGACUCCUACGGGAGGCAGCAGUGGGGAAUUUUGGACAAUGGGCGAAAGCCUGAUCCAGCAAUGCCGCGUGUGUGAAGAAGGCCUUCGGGUUGUAAAGCACUUUUGUCCGGAAAGAAAUCCUUGGCCCUAAUACGGUCGGGGGAUGACGGUACCGGAAGAAUAAGCACCGGCUAACUACGUG